UCAACCUUUUCUCUCUUACCCAUCAGAUUUUCAGCAACAACAACGAAGUAUUAUCAAAUGGAUAAACAACUCACCCUUUCUAUUUUUUUUUGUUAAAUAAGUUCUCCAACUCCUUUCUAUCACCGAUGCAAUUUUUUUUUCCUAACCUAAUGGCUGACCAGAAUAUUUUCACCGUCACCACCGUUGAAGACACCGUUCCCGACAGCGGAACAACCACUGGCAACACAGUAGUGAACCCGCAAAGCCGCUGGAACCAUUGAUUCCGGCCAAAGGAAAUCUCUGUCAAUGUAAGUUUUUACGGACCAGAUCUAUACCAAAUUUUGUCCAUGAGUUUUUCUUGUCCAUCGUAAGUCUUCCUCUAACAUUCAUUUUACAGAUUGUCCAUCGGAUCUACAGAACAAAACUAUUCAUCAGUUAGUCCAAUAGACAACCCUACUCAGCCCAUGUAAACUAUGAGAUAGACCAUUUAUAUUUUUGUGGGAUACCAUUCGUCCUUUCCAUUUUUAUUUAUUGAUAGACAAAUUUUGUUCUUUAGGAUCUCUGUAGACAACAUAACAUAUGACACCAGCGAUGGACAACCGUAAGAGGAUAUUAAAAAUCUUGUUUAUCCUGUGGAUCUAACCAAAAAUCUGGAUGUUCUCCUUUUUCAACCUUCUUCCCUUCUUCAAAUUAUCUUUAUCAUUUUGUCUAUAGUAAGUCGUCCUCUAACAUGUUUUACAAAUGGUCUAUCAGAUAUACAAAACAAGUCUGUCAAUCAGUUAGUCCAGUAAACAACCCUCCUCAGCCCAUGUAAACUAUGAGAUGGACCAUUUAUAUUUUUGUUGAAUGCUCUACCAUUCGUCCUUUCCAUUUUCUAUUUAUUGAUGGACAAAAUUUGUUAUUUAGGAUCUCUGUAGACAACAUAGCAGAUGACACUUGUGAUGGACAAUCGUAUGAAGAGAUCAAAAUCUUGUUUAUCUCGUGGGCUUAACCGAAAAUCUAAUUGUUGUCCUUCUUCGACCCUUCUCCCAUUAUUCAAAUUUUCUCUGUUAUUUUGUCUUCCAUAAAUCCAUCUGGAUUUCAUAUGUUGUUUUACUUUUUAACUACCCAUUAAGUUAAUAUCUGUUGGAUAAUAG
RNAcentral lists this long non-coding RNA (1115 nucleotides) under Capsella rubella. Its description in RNAcentral is "long non-coding RNA (CRUB_LNC003184)". The record is from RNAcentral. Lineage: Eukaryota; Viridiplantae; Streptophyta; Magnoliopsida; Brassicales; Brassicaceae.